AUUGAACGCUGGCGGCAUGCCUUACACAUGCAAGUCGAACGGCAGCACGGGUGCUUGCACCUGGUGGCGAGUGGCGAACGGGUGAGUAAUACAUCGGAACGUACCUUAUCGUGGGGGAUAACGCAGCGAAAGUUGCGCUAAUACCGCAUACGCCCUGAGGGGGAAAGCGGGGGACCGUAAGGCCUCGCGCGAUUAGAGCGGCCGAUGUCUGAUUAGCUUGUUGGUGAGGUAAAAGCUCACCAAGGCGAUGAUCAGUAGCUGGUCUGAGAGGACGAUCAGCCACACUGGGACUGAGACACGGCCCAGACUCCUACGGGAGGCAGCAGUGGGGAAUUUUGGACAAUGGGGGCAACCCUGAUCCAGCAAUGCCGCGUGAGUGAAGAAGGCCUUCGGGUUGUAAAGCUCUUUUGUCAGGGAAGAAACAGCAGCUCUAACACAGACUGCGAAUGACGGUACCUGAAGAAUAAGCACCGGCUAACUACGUGCCAGCAGCCGCGGUAAUACGUAGGGUGCGAGCGUUAAUCGGAAUUACUGGGCGUAAAGCGUGCGCAGGCGGUUAUACAAGACAGGCGUGAAAUCCCCGGGCUUAACCUGGGAAUGGCGUCUGUGACUGUAUAGCUAGAGUGUGUCAGAGGGGGGUGGAAUUCCACGUGUAGCAGUGAAAUGCGUAGAUAUGUGGAGG
Molecule: ribosomal RNA, 682 nt
Filed under: Pseudomonadota bacterium
Lineage: Bacteria; Pseudomonadati; Pseudomonadota
Description: bacterial SSU rRNA
Rfam family: Bacterial small subunit ribosomal RNA
Source: RNAcentral